Molecule: ribosomal RNA, 831 nt
Filed under: uncultured bacterium
Lineage: Bacteria
Description: bacterial SSU rRNA
Rfam family: Bacterial small subunit ribosomal RNA
Source: RNAcentral
AGUUUGAUCCUGGUUCAGGACGAACCCUGGCGGCCGUGCUUAACACAUCCAAGUCGACGGAAAGGCCCCCAGCUUGCUUGGGUACUCGAGUGGCGAACGGGUGAGUAACACGGGGGUGAUCUGCCCUGCACUUCGGGAUAAGCCUUGGAAAACUGGUUUUAUUACCAGAUAGGACCCUCCUUUAGUGUGGGGGGUGGAAAGAUUUUUCGGUGUGGGAUGAGCCCGCGGCCUAUCAGCUUGUUGGUGGGGUAAUGGCCUACCAAGGCGUCGACGGGUAGCCGGCCUGAGAGGGUGGACGGCCACAUUGGGACUGAGAUACGGCCCAGACUCCUACGGGAGGCAGCAGUGGGGAAUAUUGCACAAUGGGCGGAAGCCUGAUGCAGCGACGCCGCGUGGGGGAUGACGGCCUUCGGGUUGUAAAGCUCUGUCCUUGGUGAAGAUAAUGACGGUAGCCAAGGAGGAAGCCCCGGCUAACUACGUGCCAGCAGCCGCGGUAAUACGUAGGGGGCGAGCGUUGUCCGGAAUUAUUGGGCGUAAAGGGUACGUAGGCGGUUUUUAAGUCAGCAGUUAAAGCGCGGGGCUCAACCCCGUAAAGCUGUUGAAACUGGAGAACUUGAGAGAUGGAGAGGAAAGUGGAAUUCCUAGUGUAGCGGUGAAAUGCGUAGAUAUUAGGAGGAAUACCGGUGGCGAAGGCGACUUUCUGGACAUCAACUGACGCUGAGGUACGAAAGCGUGGGGAGCAAACAGGAUUAGAUACCCUGGUAGUCCACGCCGUAAACGAUGAGUGCUAGGUGUCGGGGGUCAAACCUCGGUGCCGUCGUAACACAGUAA